Molecule: ribosomal RNA, 581 nt
Filed under: uncultured bacterium
Lineage: Bacteria
Description: bacterial SSU rRNA
Rfam family: Bacterial small subunit ribosomal RNA
Source: RNAcentral
UCCAACGGUAAGAUCUCGCUUGCGAGAUACACGAGUGGCGCACGGGUGCGUAACGCGUAUGCAACCUACCUUCAACUGGAGAAUAGCCCCGAGAAAUCGGGAUUAAUACUCCAUAACAUCCAGUUUUCACCUGAUUACUGGAUUAAAGUUUCGACGGUUGAAGAUGGGCAUGCGUGACAUUAGUUUGUUGGUGAGGUAACGGCUCACCAAGACUACGAUGUCUAGGGGUUCUGAGAGGAUUGUCCCCCACACUGGUACUGAGACACGGACCAGACUCCUACGGGAGGCAGCAGUAAGGAAUAUUGGUCAAUGGACGAAAGUCUGAACCAGCCAUGCCGCGUGCAGGAUGACAGCCCUACGGGUUGUAAACUGCUUUUAUACGGGAAGAAUCCCCUGUACGUGUACAGGGUUGACGGUACCGUACGAAUAAGCAUCGGCUAACUCCGUGCCAGCAGCCGCGGUAAUACGGAGGAUGCAAGCGUUAUCCGGAUUCAUUGGGUUUAAAGGGUGCGUAGGCGGAAUGAUAAGUUAGUGGUGAAAGCCCCCGGCUCAACCGGGGAACUGCCAUUAAUACUGUUAUC